CCUACGGGUGGCAGCAGUGAGGAAUAUUGGUCAAUGGCCGGAAGGCUGAACCAGCCAAGCCGCGUGAAGGACGAGGGGCCAAGAAGUGGAAACGUCUUUUGUCAAGGGACAAAAUCAGGCUCGAGAGCCGGACCGAGGGGACUUGAAGAAAAAGCAGCGGCAAACUCCGUGCCAGAAGCCGCGGAAAGACGGAGGAUGCGAGCGUUAUCAGGAUUGCUUGGGGGGAAAGGGGGCGGAGGCGGACUGGUAAGUCAGCGGGAAAAGCCCGGGGCUCAACCCCGGCGAGCCGUUGAAACUGGCUGUCUUGAUCUGUCGAGAGGUAUGCGGAAUGCGCGGUGUAGCGGUGAACUGCUUAGAUAUUGCGCAGAACUCCGAUUGCGAAGGCAGCAUACCGGCGGCGAUCUGACGCUGAGGCACGAAAGCGUGGGUAUCGAACAGGAUUAGAUACCCUUGUAGUC
RNAcentral lists this ribosomal RNA (458 nucleotides) under uncultured bacterium. Its description in RNAcentral is "partial 16S ribosomal RNA". It matches the Rfam family "Bacterial small subunit ribosomal RNA", at positions 338 to 795 of the family's 1533-position model. The record is from RNAcentral.